AUACGGAGGGUGCAAGCGUUGUCCGGAUUUAUUGGGUUUAAAGGGUGUGUAGGCGGUGUAUUAAGUCAGUGGUGAAAGCCUGCGGCUCAACCGUAGAACUGCCAUUGAUACUGACACACUUGAGUUUGGUUGAGGUAGGCGGAAUUUAUGGUGUAGCGGUGAAAUGCAUAGAUACCAUAAAGAACACCGAUAGCGAAGGCAGCUUACUAAGCCGAAACUGACGCUGAGGCACGAAAGCGUGGGGAGCGAACAGGAUUAGAAACCCGAGUAGUCC
This 274-nucleotide ribosomal RNA is filed under the name uncultured bacterium. RNAcentral describes it as "partial 16S ribosomal RNA". It matches the Rfam family "Bacterial small subunit ribosomal RNA", at positions 523 to 796 of the family's 1533-position model. The record is from RNAcentral.